Molecule: ribosomal RNA, 262 nt
Filed under: Candida albicans
Lineage: Eukaryota; Fungi; Ascomycota; Pichiomycetes; Serinales; Debaryomycetaceae
Description: partial 28S ribosomal RNA
Rfam family: Eukaryotic large subunit ribosomal RNA
Source: RNAcentral
UUGACCUCAAAUCAGGUAGGACUACCCGCUGAACUUAAGCAUAUCAAUAAGCGGAGGAAAAGAAACCAACAGGGAUUGCCUCAGUAGCGGCGAGUGAAGCGGCAAAAGCUCAAAUUUGAAAUCUGGCGUCUUUGGCGUCCGAGUUGUAAUUUGAAGAAGGUAUCUUUGGGCCCGGCUCUUGUCUAUGUUCCUUGGAACAGGACGUCACAGAGGGUGAGAAUCCCGUGCGAUGAGAUGACCCGGGUCUGUGUAAAGUUCCUUC